UUCGUAACAAUAGUACACGAAAUGUAUUUGACAAACAAUUAUUAUAAUAACACUACAUAAACAAUGAACAAUGUACUCCCCUCACCUACCAACAAAGACAAACAUUUUCAAAUCUUGUGCAGCACAUAUCUCUCUAUAUAACAUAAGCAGCAAACGUACUGUUGUUCUAGUAUAGUCUUCUACAAUCUUUGUGUUUUACUUAAACUGUAAAUCCAAAAAUCAAUAUUUUAUUUGGCGUUUUAAAUUUUCUAUCUUUAAUAUACCAUUGGAUUAUAUCUAAUUGAAAAAUGAAAUUAAAUAGCAUAUAUUUGUUUUUAACAACAUUGUUUUGCGUUAUCAUUUUAGCGUAUGCAGGUAUUUCAGGUCGUCCUGAACAUACGCAAUCCAAUACCCCUCCAGCUCCACCAUUACGAAUGGGACACCCACCACUUCCGGGUGUAAUAGCACAUAUAAAUCCACCACCACCACCACCAGCAGCACCACCA
Adelges cooleyi (spruce gall adelgid) is the source of this 485-nucleotide long non-coding RNA. RefSeq lists it as uncharacterized. The record is from RefSeq and is a predicted model, not a curated record. Lineage: Eukaryota; Metazoa; Arthropoda; Insecta; Hemiptera; Adelgidae. The transcript is spliced from 3 exons.